Molecule: ribosomal RNA, 451 nt
Filed under: uncultured organism
Description: partial 16S ribosomal RNA
Rfam family: Bacterial small subunit ribosomal RNA
Source: RNAcentral
UACACUCCUGCGGGAGGCAGCAGUGGGGAAUAUUGGGCAAUGGGCGCAAGCCUGAUCCAGCCAUGCCGCGUGAGUGAUGAAGGCCCUAGGGUUGUAAAGCUCUUUCACCGGUGAAGAUAAUGACGGUAACCGGAGAAGAAGCCCCGGCUAACUUCGUGCCAGCAGCCGCGGUAAUACGAAGGGGGCUAGCGUUGUUCGGAUUUACUGGGCGUAAAGCGCACGUAGGCGGACUAUUAAGUCAGGGGUGAAAUCCCGGGGCUCAACCCCGGAACUGCCUUUGAUACUGGUAGUCUUGAGUUCGAGAGAGGUGAGUGGAAUUCCGAGUGUAGAGGUGAAAUUCGUAGAUAAUCGGAGGAACACCAGUGGCGAAGGCGGCUCACUGGCUCGAUACUGACGCUGAGGUGCGAAAGCGUGGGGAGCAAACAGGAUUAGAAACCCGAGUAGUCCAUGA